This is a long non-coding RNA of Amblyraja radiata (thorny skate), 358 nucleotides long. RefSeq lists it as uncharacterized. The record is from RefSeq and is a predicted model, not a curated record. The transcript has 3 exons. Lineage: Eukaryota; Metazoa; Chordata; Chondrichthyes; Rajiformes; Rajidae.
CAUCUUUCAUUUGACAGGAACAGUCACAGAACCUGUUGACCCACAUCACAUCGGUAUUUGCUGAACUGCGCCAGAUUCUCAAUGAGGAAGAGCAGCGCUUUCACAAGGAACUCCGGGAAGAAGAGGAGAGCGUUCUAAACCCAAUGGAGAAUAAUCUACGAGAGAUUCAAGAGAAGUUAAACUCUAUUCAAGAGCAACUCCUAAAGCUGCAGGAGCGGAUGAAUCAAAUGGACAGUUUGAUAUUUCUGAAGGAGGAAACUCGUCAGAAGAGGAGGGUGAGUGAUGAAGAACGGAUGCUGUUGGUAGCAGACGGUGCCUUGGCAAUUGGAAAGUUCGAUCACCCAUUUUUGUUGAGCAA